RNAcentral lists this ribosomal RNA (232 nucleotides) under uncultured bacterium. RNAcentral describes it as "partial 16S ribosomal RNA". It matches the Rfam family "Bacterial small subunit ribosomal RNA", at positions 15 to 236 of the family's 1533-position model. The record is from RNAcentral.
GAUCCUGGCUCAGGAUGAACGCUAGCUACAGGCUUAACACAUGCAAGUCGAGGGGCAGCAUUUUAGUUUGCUUGCAAACUGAAGAUGGCGACCGGCGCACGGGUGAGUAACGCGUAUCCAACCUGCCCAUCACUUGGGAAUAACCUUGCGAAAGUAAGACUAGUGCCCAAUGAUAUCCCACGAAGGCAUCCGAAUGGGAUUAAAGAUUUAUCGGUGAUGGAUGGGGAUGCGU